RNAcentral lists this long non-coding RNA (1394 nucleotides) under Vigna radiata. RNAcentral's name for it is "long non-coding RNA (VRAD_LNC004273)". Lineage: Eukaryota; Viridiplantae; Streptophyta; Magnoliopsida; Fabales; Fabaceae. The record is from RNAcentral.
AAAAAGACUCACUUUGGUGAUUUCUUAAUUAUCAAUAGCUCAUAAAAAAAAAUUAUAAACAAGACCAAUAUUUAAAUUUUAUUUAUUCCUUAAUAAUUAUUAAUUUUAUUCAAUGACCCAAAAAUAAAUCUGCAAUCUGCACCAGAUUGGGCCUGCCAAAAAAAAUUAAAUAAAAGUCCAAGAUGGAUCUGAAAUAGGACUAUCCGAAAUUGGGCCUGGGUCACAGCCCACAACCCAGCACACAGAGAAACCCUUGCCGUCAGUUGCACUAGGGUCGCAAGUCCCCGUCAGCCACGAACAGUUCUUGCCGAGACCACCAUGACAGCAUCUGGUAACUUCCAAAACCAACCUCAAUCUGCAAGAGUGCCCUUGAUGCAACGAACGGUGCGCUACCAUGAAACAGCUUCUGCAGAUCUGAACGCAGAUCAAGAUCGCGACUCUCCACCGUCACCGUCGACGCUGAUGUGCGAACAGGAGCGAACCACCAUGGCGACCAAACGCAACCAACCUCGCGAAGCCCCACCGCGAGCAGCUCACCUCCUUGCCACCAAACAUUUCGCCAUCGCAAGUUGAAGAUGAAGAAAGAAAAGAGAAGCAGCGAACCAGAAGAAGGAAGCCAUGGAUGGAGCGGAAAACGCAAAAAAAAAAACACAGCACCAGAGAACGAAGAAGGUAAACCCGAAAAGGAAACUCUCCUUAGGGUUUCAGAUUUGGGAAUUUUCCCAAUUUUAAAAAUUAGGGUUACAGAGACAUUCAAAUUGGAAAUUCUGGAUGUUAAUUUCCCUUUUCAACCGUAGAAUUAAUGCAGAAAAUUGAUUACAGAUUUAUAAUUCGUAAUCAAUUACAAAUUUCCAAAUUUGGUUUAUGCAAUUUAAUCAUAAAUUAACAUGCUCUGAUACCAAUUGUUAGAAUUUAUGAUUCACAAUAAAGAGCAAUAAACCACAUGCAUUAAAUUCUACAAUCAAAGCAGUUCCCAAUAUUUCUAUAAUAAUAUAAUGGAAGCGUACCUGAAUUGGACAUUGGGAAUAAUAAUUAAUCAACCUGAAAAUGGUCUCUGAUCUUCCCUCUGUAGAGCACCCUUAGUUCCCUCUAUAUUUUCUCUUCUGAUGGGGAUAAAGAGAAAGAAACAGGAAUAUAUCUUAUGCCCUCAGAUGGGGACCAUGACCCCAUAAUAAACUUCUAACGGUUUCUUUAGUUUUAAUAAUUAUAAAUUGGCCCCUUCAACAAAUUAUAAUUAUUACUGGUCUCUACACAAUAUACUUUUCAUGACAAACAUACCCUUAGCCAUAUUUAUUUUAAUUAGAUCACUUUAUGAAAUUGGCUAAUAUAAUAUAAUGGCCCUAACACAUUUAAUAAUUACUUAUAUAUAUACAAGUGACCCAAAUUGCUAACAA